RNAcentral lists this ribosomal RNA (253 nucleotides) under uncultured bacterium. RNAcentral describes it as "partial 16S ribosomal RNA". It matches the Rfam family "Bacterial small subunit ribosomal RNA", at positions 524 to 776 of the family's 1533-position model. The record is from RNAcentral.
UACGUAGGGGGCAAGCGUUGUCCGGAUUUAUUGGGCGUAAAGAGCUCGUAGGCGGUUUGUCGCGUCGAAUGUGAAAACCCGGGGCUCAACCCCGGGCCUGCAUUCGAUACGGGCAGACUAGAGUUCGGUAGGGGAGUCUGGAAUUCCUGGUGUAGCGGUGAAAUGCGCAGAUAUCAGGAGGAACACCGGUGGCGAAGGCGGGUCUCUGGGCCGUAACUGACGCUGAGGAGCGAAAGCAUGGGGAGCGAACAGG